This 253-nucleotide ribosomal RNA is filed under the name uncultured bacterium. RNAcentral's name for it is "partial 16S ribosomal RNA". It matches the Rfam family "Bacterial small subunit ribosomal RNA", at positions 524 to 776 of the family's 1533-position model. The record is from RNAcentral.
AACGUAGGAGGCGAGCGUUAUCCGGAUUUAUUGGGCGUAAAGCGCAUGCAGGUGGUUCUGCAAGUCGGAUGUGAAAGCUCCUGGCUUAACUGGGAGAGGUCGUUCGAAACUGCAGGACUGGAGGUCGGAAGAGGGAAGCGGAAUUCCCGGUGUAGUGGUGGAAUGCGUAGAUAUCGGGAGGAACACCAGUGGCGGAAGCGGCUUCCUGGUCCGCACCUGACACUCAGAUGCGAAAGCGUGGGGAGCGAACAGG